RNAcentral lists this unclassified non-coding RNA (238 nucleotides) under Hevea brasiliensis (rubber tree). Lineage: Eukaryota; Viridiplantae; Streptophyta; Magnoliopsida; Malpighiales; Euphorbiaceae. The record is from RNAcentral.
CCUGAAUCAUGUCCUUCAUGGGUUUCUAGUAGUGGAGCACAAAUUGCUAAAACAGAUCAUAUGAUGUUCCUACCUUGUGGGCUUGCAGCAGGUUCUUCUAUAACACUUAUUGGUACUCCUCGUUAUGCUCAUCAUGAGUAUGUACCACAGCUUGCCAAAAUAAGGGCUGCUGAUGCAUUAGUCUUGGUUUCCCAAUUUAUGAUUGAAUUACAAGGUUUAAAAUCUGUGGUUGGUGAGG